CAUUGCUGCUUUUGCUCAUGCAUUUCCUCAUGGCCCAGGACUACAAUCAAGCUCUUUGAAACAGGUCAUGAGCUUCCCCAAGAAGCCACAGUAUGAAUGGUGAAGGGAGAUGGGAGGUGGGGUAGAAGGAAUGCGAGUCUCUCAGUCAAAUAUAAUCAGGAUCUUUCUUCUUUUGCUAACGCUCUGUCCUUACUUGGGUUAAAAAGGUGCUACCACUUUAUUUCAUGCCAUAUCUAUUCAGAGGAUGGGAUGUUACAGCAAAAUGAAGAAUCUGCCUUAAACAAAUGAAGAGAUUUGGAAGUGGAAGGGCUUUAGAAAUCCUCUAGCCCUUACCCAGAAUUGUACAGAGCAGAAAAAUGAGGAUCAGAAAAGAGAAUGAGCUUGCUCAAGAUCACAUGGCUUCCUGGCAGAACCAGGUCAAACCCCAAGUUUCACGAUGCACAGUACAAAGCUCCUUCUAUGUCACUCCGGGAGUGAAAGCAAUUGCUGAGGUGGUCAGCUAGCACAUGGCCAAUAUAGCUGCGGCUAUUAUCAUACCAACGGGAAGGAAAGCACUCUCCAGCAAGGGCCAAGAGAAAUUACAGUUAACAUUUAACAUGAUGGGACCAACUUCAAAGACACGCCAGCUGGACUCUUAAUAAUGGGAGAUGAAACUGCUAACCCUAGCAGAAAGUUGCAGGUGGACAACUCUGGCUGGAAAUAGCACAUGUCCUCCGAGCAGGAGUGCUCUUCAGAAACCCCAACACAAGGCUGCUGCCUCACUGCAGGGUGGGGAGAAACACGGGAAAUAACCCGUCAUCUGUUGGCAGUUCCACCUGUGAUUAAGCGGUGUGUCCCUUGUUAAUGCCAUUAAGACACUUGGAAAUGCCCACAUUUGUCAAUUAGGGGGAGGGGGAAGAGGGGCUGCUGAUGUCACUGGGAGAGGGAGAUGGUGCCGUCUUCAAGAAAGACUACAUUUGGUUCUAACAGUAGGCAGGGAAGACAGGAGAGGGCUGCUGCUCCAUCGCCACCAAGGAGUGCAGACAGGACACUGCAGAUUCUGGAGCCUGAGAAGAAAGUUUCCAACUGAGAAAAGUCAGUUAAUUUUGGAACUUCUAUUCCUGCCUAGAUGGACGUCACCUGUAGAACCCUCAGUAACUUUGGGCCACAGCUUAUAUCUUAAAUGAAGAGCUGAUUCCACCUUGCAGAGAAAUAGUCCUAGCCAUCCUUUUUUGGUGUGUUCUAGUCGCCUCCCAGGGCCCUGACUCCUGGUGUGAUGGUGGCGGGGAGGAGCCGAGGAGCGGCAUGUAGCUCUAGCAGGAGAGGCGGCCUCUGGCCCUGCUUCCUGCACAGCCUGGACACCUGCAGCACAAACCCUGUUCUUGCUGUGCUUUCACUGUUGGUCCUACGCGUUACGCCUGCCAGAACAGCUUGCGUAUGGCAUUCGUUCAGGCUCUGCCUGGACCCCCACCCACAGACCUCACCAGGGACCUCUGUUCAAGUCUGCCCUCAGGUGGCUAAAAGGGAGGAGAUUCCACAUCAGGCCUCCCAUGGCAGGGCCCUUGGCUGGCUCUGACACCGUGUCUCUGCUCUAAUUACUAGGCUUCUGUCCUAUCCCUGAGGUCAAGUUCCCCAAUCUGGGUAUUGGGCCCUUGCCUUGAUGGGCUUUAGUUCUUAGGAACAACUGUGCCCUACUUACCUUGCCAACUACUACUCUCCCACCCCACCCAAAUCGGUCUUGUCUCGCUGAAUUCUCAAGGUGCUAUUGAGGCCUCACUGCCAGUUGCCCCUGAUGGUGCUACUACCCCACUGACCCAGGUCUCUACGCCGAGCCCUCUCCUAGAGUGACCUCACCUCACCGUCAAUGAAGCCCUCCAUGUUGCCAUGAGCUGCAUUUUCCUGGUCCAGGCCCCAAACACCAGGAACUGUCUGGUUCUCCCGGCUUGACUCAGCCCAGCCCUACAAAGCAGGUGUGUGGGAAAGGCUUGUUUCCCAGUAAAGGCAAUACACUGCCAGUAGAUGAAAUAAUUAAAGCAUAUGACCUGUUAUUUAAGAA
Molecule: long non-coding RNA, 2035 nt
Filed under: Homo sapiens (human)
Lineage: Eukaryota; Metazoa; Chordata; Mammalia; Primates; Hominidae
Description: HSALNT0243447
Source: RNAcentral